Molecule: ribosomal RNA, 435 nt
Filed under: uncultured bacterium
Lineage: Bacteria
Description: partial 16S ribosomal RNA
Rfam family: Bacterial small subunit ribosomal RNA
Source: RNAcentral
GAUGAACGCUGGCGGUAUGCUUAACACACGCAAGUCGAACGGACUCUUCGGAGUUAGUGGCGGACGGGUGAGUAACGCGUGAGAAUCUGGCUUUGGGUUCGGGACAACCACUGGAAACGGUGGCUAAUACCGGAUGUGCCGAGAGGUAAAAGAGAAAUUGCCUGAAGAUGAGCUCGCGUCUGAUUAGCUAGUUGGUGAGGUAAAGGCUCACAAAGGCAGCGAUCAGUAGCUGGUCUGAGGGGAUGACCAGCCACACUGGGACGGAGACACGGCCAAGACUCCUACGGGAGGCAGGAGUGGGGAAUUUUCCGCAAUGGGCGAAAGCCUGACGGAGCAAUACCGCGUGAGGGAAGAAGGCUCUUGGGUUAUAAACCUCUUUUCUUAGGGAAGAACAAAAUGACGGUACCUAAGGAAUCAGCAUCGGCUAACUCCGUG